Mycena polygramma is the source of this 73-nucleotide non-coding RNA. Lineage: Eukaryota; Fungi; Basidiomycota; Agaricomycetes; Agaricales; Mycenaceae. The record is from the annotation of a GenBank genome assembly.
GCCUACGUCGUCUAGUGGUAAGACCCCACCAGUGUUUAGUGUGGGUACGAGGGUUCGAAUCCCUCCGUAGGCA